This 468-nucleotide ribosomal RNA is filed under the name uncultured bacterium. Its description in RNAcentral is "partial 16S ribosomal RNA". It matches the Rfam family "Bacterial small subunit ribosomal RNA", at positions 28 to 507 of the family's 1533-position model. The record is from RNAcentral.
GACGAACGCUGGCGGCGUGCUUAACACAUGCAAGUCGAACGGAAAGGCCCUGCUUUUGUGGGGUGCUCGAGUGGCGAACGGGUGAGUAACACGUGAGUAACCUGCCCUUGACUUUGGGAUAACUUCAGGAAACUGGGGCGAAUACCGGAUAGGAGCUCCUGCUGCAUGGUGGGGGUUGGAAAGUUUGGGCGGUUGGGGAUGGACUCGCGGCUUAUCAGCUUGUUGGUGGGGUAGUGGCUUACCAAGGCUUUGACGGGUAGCCCGCCUGAGAGGGUGACCGGCCACAUUGGGACUGAGAUACGGCCCAGUCUCCUACGGGAGGCAGCAGUGGGGAGUAUUGCAGAAUGGGGGGAAGCCUGAUGAAGCAACGCCGCGUGCGGGAUGACGGCCUUCGGGUUGUAAACCGCUUUCGCCUGUGACGAAGCGUGCGUGACGGUAAUGAGUAAAGAAGCACCGGCUAACUACGUG